CGGAGGAAAAGAAACCANCAGGGAUUGCCUUAGUANCGGCGAGUGAANCGGCAAAAGCUCAAAUUUGAANUCUGGCGCCUUCGGUGUCCGAGUUGUAAUUUGAAGAAGGUAACUUUGGAGUUGGCUCUUGUCUAUGUUCCUUGGANCAGGACGUCNCAGAGGGUGAGAAUCCCGUGCGAUGAGAUGCCCAAUUCUAUGUAAAGUGCUUUCGAAGAGUCGAGUUGUUUGGGAAUGCAGCUCUAAGUGGGUGGUAAAUUCCAUCUAAAGCUAAAUAUUGGCGAGAGACCGAUAGCGAACAAGUACAGUGAUGGAAAGAUGAAAAGAACUUUGAAAAGAGAGUGAAAAAGUACGUGAAAUUGUUGAAAGGGAAGGGCUUGAGAUCAGACUUGGUAUUUUGCGAUCCUUUCCUUCUUGGUUGGGUUCUCCGCAGCUUACUGGGCCAGCAUCGGUUUGGAUGGUAGGAUAAUGAUUAAGGAAUGNGGCUCUACUUCGGUGGAGUGUUAUAGCCUNGGUUGAUACUGCCUNUCUAGACCGAGGAC
RNAcentral lists this ribosomal RNA (539 nucleotides) under Debaryomyces sp. P3. RNAcentral describes it as "LSU rRNA". It matches the Rfam family "Eukaryotic large subunit ribosomal RNA", at positions 51 to 595 of the family's 3401-position model. The record is from RNAcentral. Lineage: Eukaryota; Fungi; Ascomycota; Pichiomycetes; Serinales; Debaryomycetaceae.